GUCCUAGCCGUAAACGGUGUGUAUUUGCUGUAAAAGGAAUCGACCCCUUUUGUGGCGUAGCUAACGCGUUAAAUACACCGCCUGGGAAGUACGGUCGCAAGAUUAAAACUCAAAGAAAUUGACGGGGGCCUGCACAAGCGGUGGAGUAUGUGGCUCAAUUCGAUGCAACGCGAAGAACCUUACCUGGCCUUGACAUGCAAAUAGUAGAAGGGUGAAAGCCUGACGAGGUAGCAAUACCAGUUUGCACAGGUGCUGCAUGGCUGUCGU
RNAcentral lists this ribosomal RNA (267 nucleotides) under uncultured bacterium. RNAcentral's name for it is "partial 16S ribosomal RNA". It matches the Rfam family "Bacterial small subunit ribosomal RNA", at positions 793 to 1055 of the family's 1533-position model. The record is from RNAcentral.